UCUGAGGGCAAUCUGGCUGCUACAUCUGUCACCCCAUUCAUCACCAGGGUUGAUUCAGCUGAUCUGGCUGGCUAGGUAGGUGUCGCCUUCUUCCCUCACCACUCCAUGUGUGUCCCUCCCAAAGGUGUGCAUGUGGCUCAAGAGGACGACCUUCCUCAAUAGAGGGAAGUCAAGGUAUGACUCAUGUGUGCUGCUCUGCCCUGCUAGAACAUGCUCCCAAAGCCUAUAUAUUGAAGACUCAUCCUAGGAAAGCCUCACAAGGCAUAAUCUCUAGGUCUUCACAUUGAUGGGAGCCCAGG
This 299-nucleotide small nuclear RNA is filed under the name Phascolarctos cinereus (koala). Its description in RNAcentral is "7SK RNA (ENSPCIG00000010075.2)". It matches the Rfam family "7SK RNA". From Rfam's summary of the family: 7SK was discovered as an abundant small nuclear RNA in the mid-70s but a possible function has only recently been suggested. Two independent studies have found that 7SK RNA binds the CDK9/cyclin T complex (known as elongation factor P-TEFb). P-TEFb activates transcription by phosphorylating the C-terminal domain of RNA polymerase II. Lineage: Eukaryota; Metazoa; Chordata; Mammalia; Diprotodontia; Phascolarctidae. The record is from Rfam by way of RNAcentral.